GGUUAUCAGUAGUGUAUUGGUAAUCUUACCUGCUCAAUGCUGAAGUAAAUAGCUGCAGUAUUUUGACUGUACUAAGGUAGCAUAAUCAAUAGCUUUUUAAUUGAAGGCUGGUAUGAAAGGUUAAUACUAUAAAAGAAGUUUUAUUAAUUUAUUUCGAAUUUAAAUUAAAAGUAAAAAUGCUUUUAUUAACCCUUGGGACGAGAAGACCCUAGAAGCUUAAAUGCAGUUGUAUUUUAGUUGGGGUGACUAAUGAAGAUAAAAAUCUUUAUGUUUUGAAUUGUUAAUAUAAAAAGUUACUCUAGGGAUAACAGCGUAAUUUAAUUUAUGAGUUCUUAUUUGAAAUUAAGUUUGCGACCUCGAUGUUGAAUUAAAUGGAAGUAAGGUGUAGAAGCUUUAUAUUUUUAGUCUGUUCGACUAUUAAAUUUUUACA
This 430-nucleotide ribosomal RNA is filed under the name Caenoncopus affinis. Its description in RNAcentral is "partial 16S ribosomal RNA". It matches the Rfam family "Bacterial large subunit ribosomal RNA", at positions 1832 to 2600 of the family's 2925-position model. Lineage: Eukaryota; Metazoa; Arthropoda; Arachnida; Opiliones; Sandokanidae. The record is from RNAcentral.